GCUGGACAUGGUGGCGCAAGCCUUUAAUCCCAGCUACUCAGCAGGCUGAGACGGGAAGAUGGCUUGAGUUCAUGAGUUCUGGGCUGUAGUGUGCUAUGCCAAUCAGUGUUCGCACUAAGUUUCACAUCAAAUGGUGACCUCCCAGGAGCAGGGGACCAUCAGGUUGCUUAAAGAAGGGGUGAAAAUGCCCAGGUUGGAAACAAAGCAGGUCAAAACUCCCAUGCUGAUCAGAAGUGGGAUCGCGCCUGUGAAUAGCCACUGCACUCCAGCCUGGGCAAUGUAGCGAGACCCCAUCUCU
Molecule: signal recognition particle RNA, 298 nt
Filed under: Microtus ochrogaster (prairie vole)
Lineage: Eukaryota; Metazoa; Chordata; Mammalia; Rodentia; Cricetidae
Description: Metazoan signal recognition particle RNA (ENSMOCG00000012011.1)
Rfam family: Metazoan signal recognition particle RNA
About the family: The signal recognition particle (SRP) is a universally conserved ribonucleoprotein. It is involved in the co-translational targeting of proteins to membranes. The eukaryotic SRP consists of a 300-nucleotide 7S RNA and six proteins: SRPs 72, 68, 54, 19, 14, and 9.
Source: RNAcentral